This 253-nucleotide ribosomal RNA is filed under the name uncultured bacterium. RNAcentral's name for it is "partial 16S ribosomal RNA". It matches the Rfam family "Bacterial small subunit ribosomal RNA", at positions 524 to 776 of the family's 1533-position model. The record is from RNAcentral.
UACAGAGACUGCAAGCGUUAUUCGGAUUCACUGGGCGUAAAGGGUGCGCAGGCGGCCGGGUGUGUCAGAUGUGAAAUCCCGAGGCUUAACCCCGGAACUGCGUCUGAAACUACUCGGCUAGAGUACUGGAGAGGGUAACGGAAUUCACGGUGUAGCAGUGAAAUGCGUAGAUAUCGUGAGGAACACCAGAGGCGAAGGCGGUUACCUGGACAGUUACUGACGCUCAGGCACGAAAGCAUGGGGAGCAAAAGGG